UCAUGGCUCAGAUUGAACGCUGGCGGCAGGCCUAACACAUGCAAGUCGAACGGUAACAGAAAGCAGCUUGCUGCUUUGCUGACGAGUGGCGGACGGGUGAGUAAUGUCUGGGAAACUGCCUGAUGGAGGGGGAUAACUACUGGAAACGGUGGCUAAUACUGCAUAACGUCGCAAGACCAAAGAGGGGGACCUUCGGGCCUCUUGCCAUCAGAUGUGCCCAGAUGGGAUUAGCUGGUUGGUGAGGUAACGGCUCACCAAGGCGACGAUCCCUAGCUGGUCUGAGAGGAUGACCAGCCACACUGGAACUGAGACACGGUCCAGACUCCUACGGGAGGCAGCAGUGGGGAAUAUUGCACAAUGGGCGCAAGCCUGAUGCAGCCAUGCCGCGUGUAUGAAGAAGGCCUUCGGGUUGUAAAGUACUUUCAGCGGGGAGGAAGGUGUUGUGGUUAAUAACCGCAGCAAUUGACGUUACCCGCAGAAGAAGCACCGGCUAACUCCGUGCCAGCAGCCGCGGUAAUACGGAGGGUGCAAGCGUUAAUCGGAAUUACUGGGCGUAAAGCGCACGCAGGCGGUCUGUCAAGUCGGAUGUGAAAUCCCCGGGCUCAACCUGGGAACUGCAUUCGAAACUGGCAGGCUUGAGUCUUGUAGAGGGGGGUAGAAUUCCAGGUGUAGCGGUGAAAUGCGUAGAGAUCUGGAGGAAUACCGGUGGCGAAGGCGGCCCCCUGGACAAAGACUGACGCUCAGGUGCGAAAGCGUGGGGAGCAAACAGGAUUAGAUACCCUGGUAGUCCACGCCGUAAACGAUGUCUACUUGGAGGUUGUGCCCUUGAGGCGUGGCUUCCGGAGCUAACGCGUUAAGUAGACCGCCUGGGGAGUACGGCCGCAAGGUUAAAACUCAAAUGAAUUGACGGGGGCCCGCACAAGCGGUGGAGCAUGUGGUUUAAUUCGAUGCAACGCGAAGAACCUUACCUGGUCUUGACAUCCACGGAAGUUUUCAGAGAUGAGAAUGUGCCUUCGGGAACCGUGAGACAGGUGCUGCAUGGCUGUCGUCAGCUCGUGUUGUGAAAUGUUGGGUUAAGUCCCGCAACGAGCGCAACCCUUAUCCUUUGUUGCCAGCGGUCCGGCCGGGAACUCAAAGGAGACUGCCAGUGAUAAACUGGAGGAAGGUGGGGAUGACGUCAAGUCAUCAUGGCCCUUACGACCAGGGCUACACACGUGCUACAAUGGCGCAUACAAAGAGAAGCGACCUCGCGAGAGCAAGCGGACCUCAUAAAGUGCGUCGUAGUCCGGAUUGGAGUCUGCAACUCGACUCCAUGAAGUCGGAAUCGCUAGUAAUCGUGGAUCAGAAUGCCACGGUGAAUACGUUCCCGGGCCUUGUACACACCGCCCGUCACACCAUGGGAGUGGGUUGCAAAAGAAGUAGGUAGCUUAACCUUCGGGAGGGCGCUUACCACUUUGUGAUUCAUGACUGGGGUGAAGUCGUAACAAGGUAACCGUAGGGGAACCUGCGGUUGGA
This 1515-nucleotide ribosomal RNA is filed under the name Salmonella enterica. RNAcentral's name for it is "bacterial SSU rRNA". It matches the Rfam family "Bacterial small subunit ribosomal RNA". The record is from RNAcentral. Lineage: Bacteria; Pseudomonadati; Pseudomonadota; Gammaproteobacteria; Enterobacterales; Enterobacteriaceae. RNAcentral also lists the same sequence under 1 other name.